CCUACGUGAGGCAGCAGUGGGGGAUAUUGCACAAUGGGGGGAACCCUGAUGCAGCGACGCCGCGUGGGUGAAGAAGCGCCUCGGCGCGUAAAGCCCUGUCAGCAGGGAAGUAAAUGACGGUACCUGAAGAAGAAGCCCCGGCUAACUACGUGCCAGCAGCCGCGGUAAUACGUAGGGGGCAAGCGUUAUCCGGAUUUACUGGGUGUAAAGGGGGCGCAGACGGCGAUGCAAGCCAGGAGUGAAAGCCCGGGGCCCAACCCCGGGACUGCUUUGGAAACUGUGUUGCUGGAGUGCAGGAGGGGUAAGCGGAAUGCGUAGUGUAGCGGUGAAAUGCGUAGAUAUUAGGAGGAACACCGGUGGCGAAGGCGGCUUACUGGACUGUAACUGACGUUGAGGCUCGAAGGCGUGGGGAGCAAACAGGAUUAGAUACCCCAGUAGUC
RNAcentral lists this ribosomal RNA (440 nucleotides) under uncultured bacterium. Its description in RNAcentral is "partial 16S ribosomal RNA". It matches the Rfam family "Bacterial small subunit ribosomal RNA", at positions 338 to 795 of the family's 1533-position model. The record is from RNAcentral.